Molecule: ribosomal RNA, 460 nt
Filed under: uncultured bacterium
Lineage: Bacteria
Description: partial 16S ribosomal RNA
Rfam family: Bacterial small subunit ribosomal RNA
Source: RNAcentral
CCUACGGGAGGCAGCAGUGAGGAAUAUUGGUCAAUGGACGAGAGUCUGAACCAGCCAAGUAGCGUGAAGGAUGACUGCCCUAUGGGUUGUAAACUUCUUUUAUAUGGGAAUAAAAUGUUCCACGUGUGGGAUUUUGUAUGUACCAUAUGAAUAAGGAUCGGCUAACUCCGUGCCAGCAGCCGCGGUAAUACGGAGGAUCCGAGCGUUAUCCGGAUUUAUUGGGUUUAAAGGGAGCGUAGGUGGAUUGUUAAGUCAAUUGUGAAAGUUUGCGGCUCAACCGUAAAAUUGCAGUUGAAACUGGCAGUCUUGAGUACAGUAGAGGUGGGCGGAAUUCGUGGUGUAGCGGUGAAAUGCUUAGAUAUCACGAAGAACUCCGAUUGCGAAGGCAGUUCACUGGACUGCAACUGACACUGAGGCUCGAAAGUGUGGGUAUCAAACAGGAUGAGAUACCCUAGUAGUC